RNAcentral lists this ribosomal RNA (240 nucleotides) under uncultured bacterium. RNAcentral's name for it is "partial 16S ribosomal RNA". It matches the Rfam family "Bacterial small subunit ribosomal RNA", at positions 94 to 334 of the family's 1533-position model. The record is from RNAcentral.
AGCGGCGGACGGGUGAGUAACGCGUGGGUAACCUGCCUCAUACAGGGGGAUAACAGUUAGAAAUGACUGCUAAUACCGCAUAAGACCACAGCACCGCAUGGUGCAGGGGUAAAAACUCCGGUGGUAUGAGAUGGACCCGCGUCUGAUUAGGUAGUUGGUGGGGUAACGGCCUACCAAGCCGACGAUCAGUAGCCGACCUGAGAGGGUGACCGGCCACAUUGGGACUGAGACACGGCCCAA